This 74-nucleotide transfer RNA is filed under the name soil metagenome. RNAcentral also lists the same sequence under 1 other name. The record is from RNAcentral.
UAGGGGGUGGUGUAAGCGGCUCGGCACAAGGGGCUGUGGUCCCCUGAGAGCGGGUUCGAGACCCGUCCCCCUGA